AUUGAACGCUGGCGGCAUGCUUUACACAUGCAAGUCGAACGGUAACAGGCCGCAAGGUGCUGACGAGUGGCGAACGGGUGAGUAAUGCAUCGGAACGUGCCCAGUCGUGGGGGAUAACUACUCGAAAGAGUAGCUAAUACCGCAUACGAUCUAUGGAUGAAAGCGGGGGACCGUAAGGCCUCGCGCGAUUGGAGCGGCCGAUGUCAGAUUAGGUAGUUGGUGGGGUAAAGGCUCACCAAGCCAACGAUCUGUAGCUGGUCUGAGAGGACGACCAGCCACACUGGGACUGAGACACGGCCCAGACUCCUACGGGAGGCAGCAGUGGGGAAUUUUGGACAAUGGGCGCAAGCCUGAUCCAGCAAUGCCGCGUGCAGGAAGAAGGCCUGCGGGUUGUAAACUGCUUUUGUACGGAACGAAACGGCUCUGGUUAAUACCCGGGGCUAAUGACGGUACCGUAAGAAUAAGCACCGGCGAACUACGU
RNAcentral lists this ribosomal RNA (481 nucleotides) under uncultured bacterium. Its description in RNAcentral is "partial 16S ribosomal RNA". It matches the Rfam family "Bacterial small subunit ribosomal RNA", at positions 30 to 506 of the family's 1533-position model. The record is from RNAcentral.